CAGAUGUUUUCCAAGUAAGACCACAAUGGUCUGAGAUAACUGCCAGAGCCCCAGAGUCAGCACAGUUACCCCUCCCUACUUCCUCCCUGCUUUGCUUUAAAAACCCCUCUUUGUGCCUAAUAAAGUGAGACCUUGACAAAGUGAGACAUUGCUUGGUCUCGUUCCUUCUUUCUCACCCAUUUAUUUUCAGGUUCUUGCCCACCUCCCCACGAAUAACUUGGUCCCUCAGGUCGGAGCAGGUGGUGCCCAACGUGCGGCUCGAGGUAUGGGCUUUUACCGAACGGAGUCCCCCAACACUGAAGAGAAUCAUCGGUAGCACGCACCGAGAAGACUGAGGGACCUGCAAGCGGCAGCCCUGCUCUCAAGAGCAGGCUGAUUCCUGGAAGAAAAUGAGGCCCGGUGACUGCCAGACCAUUUGGUGAGAUGCGUGGAACAGACGAAAACCGGACCUGAGACCUCGGAAGCAUAAUUACCUCCUCUCUCUCUCUCUCUCUCUCUCUCUCUCUCUCUCUCUCUCUCUCUCUCUCUCUCUCUCUCUCUCUCUGUCCUCUCAGGGGUCAUUCUCUAGAACAGGCAAGGCUUAAACCUAUUGUUUUUACAACAAGGAGGAAUUUGUGCAGCACUCAAAGAGGAAUGUUGCUUUUAUGCUCAUAAGACUGGCUUGGUAGAAGACAGCUUAGAUAGAGGGCAGAAAAGUCCUGAGGAACGUAAAUGACAGUGGGAACAGGCCAAGUCCUGGUAUAAAAAUUGGUUUUCCACCUCCCCUUGGCUUUCUACCCUGCUUCCAUCUCUCCUAGGACCAUUUGUGGGAUUGUUUCUGCUGCUGACUUUUGGGCCUUGGGCAUUCCAGAAAUUAACUCGAUUGAUCAAAACUCAAAUUGAUUCCAUAAUCAAAAAAACCUAUUUUCGUACACUAUCAUCAGCUUUUGGAAAAGGAACAGGGCUCCUUUGAGAAACCUGUUGAGGAUGGUGACAAUACCAAUUCUGAUCCCCCUAGACAAGGACUUGAUUUCACAAGACUAGAACAACAGAGGACCUGGUUCUCUCAAAUAUGGAGACAUCCAUGACGGGAAUACCGCGGUGCCACAAAGCGAUGCAGACCCUUCUCUUCGGCUGUAGGUUCCUCAACGAUGGGAUUAGCAUGGGGCUGCCUCUCAGAAGCCCACUCUCCUUGUCCAAUCUUGACAAUGUUUUUGAGUGCUGAGGACAGAUGCACCCCAUGUAGCCUAAGACAGAGGCCCUACCCACUUGUCACAUAGUAACAAGCCCAUCCCCAGGGUCCUGAGUGUGGGAGCCCACCACGUAGCCUAAGACAGACCCUCCAUAAAAAUAAUAAAAUAGGGGGAGAUUUUGGGAGCCAGCCUCGAGUCACAGCCAGCCUUGAGUCACAUCCUCUCACAGAGUUGUUUACGCCAUACCUCUAGUUGAGCCUUAUCUUGGCAAAAUAGGAAAUGGCUCAAAGGGCAGUCUAUUCCACUUACUUCAGGAACUGAUAUAACCAGAUGCCAGGAAUUGAGAUAAGCAGAUGUUUUCCAAGUAAGACCACAAUGGUCCGAGAUAACUGCCAGAGCCCCAGAGUCAGCACAGUUACCCCUCCCUACUUCCUCCCUGCUUUGCUUUAAAAACCCCUCUUUGUGCCUAAUAAAGUGAGACCUUGACAAAGUGA
Molecule: long non-coding RNA, 1666 nt
Organism: Phodopus roborovskii (desert hamster)
Lineage: Eukaryota; Metazoa; Chordata; Mammalia; Rodentia; Cricetidae
Exons: 2
Source: RefSeq, a predicted model, not a curated record